GCCUAGUGUAGCUACAAUAGCCUCACGCCCAAAUUUUACAUAUGACCACAAACAGCCUCACAGCCUCACACCCUCACCAGACCUCAUCCCUACUAAUUCUUUCAUUCUCUUCACGCACGCAUUCAUUCUAUAUUCAGUCCCAAUCUCAGCAUCUCUCUUUCUCCUCAUUGCCUUGCUCAUCGUCUUCCUCAUUGUCGUUUGUCGUCGUCUAUCGUGUCUCUUUGCAAUUGGAACAAAUCCUCUUCGCGACAGAUCUUCGGCUUCCUUCUCUUUGCAUGUUGACCUGUUAGAUUUAAAACAAAAAGAAAUUGUUCAAAUUUUUUU
Molecule: unclassified non-coding RNA, 324 nt
Filed under: Hevea brasiliensis (rubber tree)
Lineage: Eukaryota; Viridiplantae; Streptophyta; Magnoliopsida; Malpighiales; Euphorbiaceae
Source: RNAcentral